Triticum aestivum (bread wheat) is the source of this 1975-nucleotide long non-coding RNA. RefSeq lists it as uncharacterized. The transcript is spliced from 9 exons. The record is from RefSeq and is a predicted model, not a curated record. Lineage: Eukaryota; Viridiplantae; Streptophyta; Magnoliopsida; Poales; Poaceae.
UCUCCCACUUGCAUACCUUUUUUAAGAGAAAACACAAAGAUGAGGGGUGAACAGUACAUGCUUCCGAUGAGGGAGAGUUACAGUGUCAAGGGAAAUUGCGCCUACCCUGACCCAAAGGGUCGCUUCCCCUUGCAUACCUCCAGUAAUACAAACGUGAAGACUGGACAUGGGAUGCCUGGGUUAUCGUCACGCUGGGCAAAACGACAAGGAAGGUGUAAAUAUAUCGGGUUUCUAGCAGCCCCUCUUGUGGAAAUUAUGAGGUAACAAGAAGCAGGGAAGAGCAGCUACAGAUGGAGGAGAUGAGUUGCGAUGAGUCCCUGGUGCCAAUCGAAGAUUUCAUGAGGAACAGAGGGCCUACUUUGAAUCAAUCAUCUAUGCAAUUUUGAGCGUGGUUUGCAUUGGCUCGCUGUACAACUUGUGAAGAAGUGCAAGGAAAUCAAGGUGAAAUUUAUGCAUCUAAAUUUCUGAAUUAUAAACAUUCAAAUUUGGAAGAUUUUUCACCAUUGAUGAACAAUACUUAAAUGAUUGUUUGGUUACUUUCCUUCCGCUGCUCCUGCCGCCUGCCAAGUGGGCUCCGCGCUCCAUAAGUUCUGAGGGGGAGACGAGGUGUGAUGUAGUCGGACUGCAGACAGGUUUCUUGUGGACGUCUGGCCUCCUGGAGCCGCAGAUCCUCGUUUGAGCUGGCUAUCUUGGGCGCCGACUAGAGCUCCAGCCGCCACCUAGCAGCCCGUGAAGCUGUCUGAUUCGAGUCGUCGCCGCUGCUGUCGGGUUUCUCCUCGCCGCUGUCUACACCUCCCCCCGGGUCACCGAUGGCUGCAUGGGGCGAGUUACUGCCAAGCCAAGCUUGAGUUCAUGGAUUCCUGGUCCAGCAUCAAGGACAGGAGCAGGAGGGGUUCAUCAUGCCAGGCAAGGUGGAGAACAGAGCUGUCAUGUGGUGUGCGUGGUGAUUCUUCUUCGACUCUGAAGCCUUCCGUGAUGCGUGUUUGGUGGCCCUGUUUCUUUUUCCACUCCGGCAUAGCUAGUGGUAACAAGAAGCAGGGAAGAGCAGCUGCAGAUGGAGGAGAUGAGUUGCGAUGAGCCCCUGGUGCCGACCGAGGAUUUAAUGAGGAACAGAGGGCCUACUUUGAAUCAAUGUUUCUUGUGGAUGUCUGGCCUCCUAGAGCUGAAGAUCCCCAUUUGAGCUGGCUAUCUUCGGCGCCGGCUGGAACUCCGGCCGCCACCUAGCAUCCCGUGAAGCUGAAGGAUUUGAUUCGUCGCCGCUGUUGUCGGGUUCCUCCUCGCCGCCGUCUACACCUCCCGCUGCUGGUGUGUCGCCAUAGUGAACUUCAUUUUCUUCCAAGUCUAGUAGCAGCGAGGUCAGAAGCCACUGCUAGAGGGAUCAGUAUGCUCUCAUGGGUAAGUCCUGGUUAUCCUGGGUGCUUCAAGUUUGUUUAUUUGAAGUGGUUUGCCUGAUUACUACUCUCAGGGCCAUAUUUCUGCUCUAUGGUUGCUUACUCCCUCCCAUGGCAUGCUAAUGUUUAAAGCCGCCGCCGCCGCCAUUGCUCACAGAAAUUUCGUUUGCUAGUUAAGUCUCUAAUCCCCUGUUUUGAACAACAUUAUUCUUGUUCAGUUUGUAAUCUGUGUCCGAACUUACUUGUGAUCCCCUUGCUGCAAGGGAAACUUGGUUUACUUAUUUUCUAGUAAAGUGAAGGUACUUGUUGGGGGCCUUUCUCUUUUACUUGUGAAGUGCAUCUAUUGAUCUUGUACUUGGGAUUCUGCAUGGGGAACUUGUGUGAACUGGUAGAGGAGCUUUCCAUGCUAAAGCUUGUGUACUCUUGUGUUGUUGUUGUCAACAUGCUAGGCUGCCUAUGAAUUGAGAAGGCCAAGAGGAAGGAGGUGGAAUGUCCAUCGUAAUGCAAACAUUACAUGCAUGUAGCUUGGCUUCCCCCACACCGCAAUGAUAACACUUUGGCCGGGUCGCCGCCUACUUUUCAUU